Molecule: transfer RNA, 77 nt
Filed under: Marinivivus vitaminiproducens
Lineage: Bacteria; Pseudomonadati; Pseudomonadota; Alphaproteobacteria; Geminicoccales; Geminicoccaceae
Description: Geminicoccaceae bacterium SCSIO 64248 tRNA-His
Rfam family: tRNA
About the family: Transfer RNA (tRNA) molecules are approximately 80 nucleotides in length. Their secondary structure includes four short double-helical elements and three loops (D, anti-codon, and T loops). Further hydrogen bonds mediate the characteristic L-shaped molecular structure. tRNAs have two regions of fundamental functional importance: the anti-codon, which is responsible for specific mRNA codon recognition, and the 3' end, to which the tRNAs corresponding amino acid is attached (by aminoacyl-tRNA synthetases). tRNAs cope with the degeneracy of the genetic code in two manners: having more than one tRNA (with a specific anti-codon) for a particular amino acid; and 'wobble' base-pairing, i.e. permitting non-standard base-pairing at the 3rd anti-codon position.
Source: RNAcentral
GCGGGCAUAGCUCAGCAGGUUAGAGCGCCAGAUUGUGGCUCUGGAGGUCGCCGGUUCGAACCCGGUUGCUCGCCCCA